RNAcentral lists this long non-coding RNA (521 nucleotides) under Prunus persica (peach). Its description in RNAcentral is "long non-coding RNA (PPER_LNC001009)". Lineage: Eukaryota; Viridiplantae; Streptophyta; Magnoliopsida; Rosales; Rosaceae. The record is from RNAcentral.
UUUACUUGACACUACAAGAAAAACGUUUAGUUGAGUGAACACAUUUAGUGUCCAAAUAUUGGUGGUCACUGGAUGGUCACUAGAAGCUCGUCACAAAUUCUAUUUAGUGGCAAACCAUUAUAAUAAUGAAAUUCAACACAAUAUAACGGCCUCUGUUUAUUUAUCUUACUCUUAGACUUCCAAGUUAUCAAUAACUCAGAAAAUUGAAUAAGAAGACGCAAUUUUACAGAAAGAGAGAUGUCAAAAAUCAUCUUGUAACUACACAAACAAAACUGUUUCCUACUCAUAUUUCGAAUGCAAUGUUAGUUUUGAGUUUGUGAGGGGUUUGGGGCUGAGUAUAGGGUGAGGAUUGGAGUUUGGGUUGGAUUUGUGGUAUAACAAUUUUAGGGGAGAUUAUACCAAUUUUUUUUUUCUUUUUUGUUAUUUGACCAUAUUUGUUUUUUUGUAGGGAAUCGUCGAGACUUUGACGGCUAAAGUUGAGGAUUAGGAUGCUAUCGAAACAUAUCCUCCGCCACUACCAC